Molecule: non-coding RNA, 77 nt
Organism: Molorchus minor
Lineage: Eukaryota; Metazoa; Arthropoda; Insecta; Coleoptera; Cerambycidae
Source: the annotation of a GenBank genome assembly
GGGUCUGUAGCUCAGUUGGUAAAGGUGUUGGCUCGCAAGCAGUAGAUUGCAGGUUCAAUCCCUGGUACUCAGAUCUC